Non-coding RNA from Acanthosepion pharaonis, 110 nucleotides. NCBI's taxonomy places the organism in Eukaryota, Metazoa, Mollusca, Cephalopoda, Sepiida, Sepiidae. The record is from the annotation of a GenBank genome assembly.
GUGGCCACAUGACAUAGAAACACCAGUUCUCAUAUAAUCACUGAAAUUAAGCAAUGUUGAGCAUUGUCAGUACAUAGAUGAGUGACCACUUGAGAAUACCAGGUGCUGUA